RNAcentral lists this long non-coding RNA (4454 nucleotides) under Homo sapiens (human). RNAcentral's name for it is "HSALNT0395877". Lineage: Eukaryota; Metazoa; Chordata; Mammalia; Primates; Hominidae. The record is from RNAcentral.
CCAGGGGCUCUGGAAGUUGGGAGCCACAUGUGGAGUCCCUGGAGUGCCUGGAGCUCCCAAGGCAGCCACGUGUCCUCCCUGUCCACCAUCCAGGCCCCCUGUGGUUCAGCUCCCGCCAGUCGCCCAGUCCUGCCGCAGAAGUGGGGCGGCCUUGAUUAAGCAGCCAGUGAAGGGGAACGCCCCAGUUUGCAGUGGCUGAGUCAUCCUGACAUCUCCCUGGUGCUGGACCCCAUCGGGGGGCUGAGGGCGGGGUAGCGGGGCGCGGGUGGACACUGGAGAGCCCCUCUUGGGCAGGUCCUUCAACAUAUCAGUGUAGCUCCCAUGUUGUCAAAAAUAAUAACAAAAACAGAAUAGAGGUGGCAGCUACAUUCUAGGUGCCGUUCUGAAUCUGUGCUUACACACGUUAACUCAUUUCUUCCUCCUAACAAUCCCUCAAGGUGGGCACUGUUACUCUUCUCCAUAGACAGAUGAGGAAGACGGAAGCACAGAGAGGUUGAGCAACUUGCCCCAGGUCACACAGCCAACAAGUCGGCAGAGCCGGGAUUUGAACCCCAUGCAGCCUCAGUCCAGCAUCCUUGCUCUUAACCUCUGAGAAAAGGCAGUCAAGAGCCCUGGGGUGUGUGUGUGCGGGGGGUGUCUCUGUAGCGAUUCAGGUGGCCCCCGCAGCAGAUGGACUGCUGUCCAAACAAACAUCCCUGACAAUCGGGCAGAGCUCCUUCCAGGCGUUAGGAAUCCAGGUUGUGGCAGCCAACAGCUUGUGGGCUGUGUGAAGUGACCUCAGGCCAGUGAAGGCCCCUCCCUGUGCCUCAGUUUCCCUCUCUGCAAAAUAGGGCUCAGAUCACAGCAACUCCGCUGACAGGGGACGGCAGGUUGGAGGAGACAAGGAUGCUACUGACUUGCUUACUUAGCAGAGGGCCUGGCACGGGGCGCCAACUCUAAAUAGUCGGAGCAGCUGUUAUUAUCCCCCCGACAUCCCCUCAUUUGCUGAUCACGGGGGUUAAUUAUAAGCGGCAUUAAAUUAUACACACACAGACGCGCCAACCUCGCUUCCCCAGAACCCCUGAAUUUCCGCAAACUCUCAAUUACCCACGUGACAGCGCGACGAUGGGCCAUCCUCCCAGCCUCUCUCCCCACAGCCUGCCUCAUCCGAGGGUCCCAGGCUUCCAGAGCCAUGGCUUCUCCGCCCGCCGGAUACCCCUCUGGGUGUCCAGGAGCGGAAGGAAGGAUGCAUGCGACUGACUGCGGACGCGUUGAGAGCCAGGGGAGGCAUGUUUACCCACAGCAUCUCAUGUCAAGGCUCGCCGCGACGCAGACUGCGACUGUACUGAUCUUAGAGAUGAGAGAACACAGAGAGGUCAGGCAACCCGCCCUAGUUUGCACAGCUCAAGUGAGGAGGGUGGCUCAAGUCAGGGCUCUGACCUGGAACCCAGAGGGGUAACCUCAUUCUGUAAGUGAGGAAGCUCCUGCACGGAGAACUGAAAGGGAAGAGGGGAAGUCAUCCAGGAAGGAAGGAAGGCAGGCAGGCAGGUGAGAUCUGGGAGAAAAAGGGGAAUUUUCAGUUCUCCAGGUAGGGGGAACAGGAGACAGCUGGCCCUUCCUAUAAGGGGCUUAUGGCAAAGAUCAAAAACAACUUAAAAGGAGCAAGGCCACCCAGAUAACAUAAAGAGUACGAGAUGAAAUCUGUCCCCAUGAAACGGGACAUUUGUGAUCCAGCCCCAGUUACGGCGAUGGGGACCGGAGGAGGGAGUCCCCAUGAUCCAAAAAUCCAGGCUCUGAACCCCCAACCAGGGUGGGAUCCGCGGGAAUCAGAAGGAAACAGGAAGCCGCACAGAAACCUGGGUUUAUUUUCAGAUGUGGAAUAUCCCCUCGGCCUCUGCGGGGCGCAGAGGGUGCCUUGAUUCCGGGGAACAGAAGAGGGGAUUCCACGGCUAGCCCAGAAUAGCACCAGCCCCAAGGUCCAGUCUGGCCAGGCCACGAUGUUGGGGGACCGGCAGCUCCAUGGAGGAGGAGGAGGAGGAAAAAAAAAAAAGAGAGAGACAAAAAUAAAGCGAUGUGAAAGUGGAGGGCCUGUCCGUGAAUCACUCCUACCCGUUAAUUUUCGCCUUUGGAGAAGUGUAAGCCAAUUGAUUUUUCAAAUUCCCCACACACAACCCCCUCCCCAGCGCUUCUCAAAUAUCAGCCAGAGACAAGACAGAAAUGGUACGUCGGGUUUUUUUUUUUCUUCCCUUUUUGGUUGAGAGUCUUUUCUUUCCUUAAAGGAAAAGGGGGGGGGGCGGGGGGGAAACCACACACUCCACACUCUUGAACCUCAGGGUUAGAGAGACCCAGGUGUCACCUGUUUCCUAGACAUUUUGGGGCUGCCACUCUCUGCGUGAGACAACAGCCACCCUUUCCCUCGAUCACAUCCCCUACACUUCACUUCCUCUCUCCGUGUCCCCCUUCCUCAAUUCAGAAUGUCACCUGGUGAUAAGAUGACAUGCAUUUGAGCCUCAAUCCCCUUCCAGCAUCCCCUCUCCUCUGCCCCGCAAGCCACAAGCUGGCAGCUUUCCGAUUCCAGAGCAAGCUUGCCACACGAAUCCUGCGAGGAACAGCAGUUAUGUCUUAAUCUCCUCUCCUCCUGUCCCCACCGGAGGCUGAGCCACUCUGCCUGGGAAGGACGGAGGAAGGGCAACCUGCACAGGCUUUGCCCGAGAAGGGUUCUCAUCCUCCUUGCAAAUUCUAAGAGGACACCCACCCAUUGGAAGGGUUUUCCCUCCCGCUCGCCCCCAUCCCGAACUCUCUCCACGCCCCGCUUCUUCCCCCACGCACACGGCGGCUGCACCGUCACAGAAAGCAGCCGCUGGAAUAAUCAGCGAAGCCACAGGUCUCCCCAUCUUGGCAAGUGGAGGUGUGCGCUGCCCUCAGACAUCUGUGAACCGCUGUUCAACGCCAACCCCGAAGGCAGAAGGGGAAACCAAGUCACCUCCCAGAAAGACGUUUGAUGAGCAGAGAUAGAUUUGCCUCCAGACUGGUACCAGGUCUGGGGAAACCCAGGCAGAGCCCCAGGCUCUAUGCGACCCAAAGAAGAAAAAAAUGGGUGCACAGUGAUGGCUCCAGGUCUCCCCACCCAGAUGCUACCACGAAAUCCCUGGCAUCCACGAAGCUUCCCCCUGUUCCAUGGUGGAAAUUGGGGGAAAAUGGACUUGUGUCUCCAAGCAGGGUCCAUGGACACUGGACGAUGCCUGAAAUCCCCUGGGAGGCAGGGAAAAAAGGCGCACUGAACGCUCAACCGGGGUAUAAGGAGUGAUUUUUUUUUCUCUGCUGGCAGCAGGCAGGAACCUGGGGUUUGAAUGUCCCCUUCUCUGUCGCCACCUCACGCAGACUUCAGAGGCUCUCAAGGUUUCCUGGAGAGGGGGAAAUCGUCCCCGGAGCUGACCUGCCAACCAGUAGCACCCUCCAGCGCCUCAGCCGGGCCACGCCAAAAUGACCUGUCACCCAUCUCCCGCGGGGAGUGGGGAGCGGGCCAGUCCACCGCCUCUUGGGACGGCAUCUCUGGACGGCCACUGACAGUACCAGUCUCUGUCACCCCCUGGGGGGUUAGGGGCAAUGUCAUCGGCCAGGGUGGCAGAAAUAGAAAAGUGCGUGAGCUCACCAGGCAGCCUGGGUCUCCUGCGACGUUUUGUUUGCCUGAGCCCAAUUAGAACAACUCUCAGGAUGAUGGAGUAUGGCGGGCGGUGGCCCCCAGGGGGCUGGGAGGCCUAGCCCCCAUGCAGAAGUGCACCGUCAUGAUGAGGGUGUCCCCCGGGCCUGGGGAACAGGGCAGGACCCUGCUUCCCGGAGGGAAAUAAUGAAGACUCCGCCAGCCUGCCAGCCAGAAAGAGAUGCCCCACGGAAGGCUUUGUGGAGGGCAGCGGGGGGGUAGGGGAGGGAUGCCCAGGUGGGGACUCAGUCAGGCCCAAGCUGGGGGGCUGUGGGAUUUGAGGGCGGGAAGCAGCCGCCCCCAGCCCCAGCUGCCUGCCUUCCACCGCCAAAAUAUCAGCUGGCAAAGAAAGAAGAGCAGAGGGACAGAAGGCAGGCGCGAUUGGCAGGGGGAGGGGGGCACAAAGGAAGGGACCCUGGGAGGGGGAGGGGACUUAUGCAAAUGGCAGAUUCGACCAAGUCCCUGGGCCAUUAAUAAACGCUCCAGCAGCUGCCGCUGGUAUCGCAGGAGCAGAGGAGCGGGAUGGCUUCCUUCUCCCGGGCGAAAGGCGGCAGAAAGAGGGAAGAAGGGCGCCCCAGACAAAGAGGCGCCGUCACCCUCUGCACCCCAAGGACAGCAGCGAUAGGGGGCCACCCAGAGGAGGCCAGAAUCCCAGCAGCCAAAGUCCGGGUGGUGGCGGACGGGAGCCCGGAGCGUGUGGGUCCCUGUCCUUGGGACCCUAGGGGUCUCUUCCUGCCUCCUCCGGCUUCUAGGUAUCAUCCCUGCUGCUCAGCCG